RNA transcript from Fukomys damarensis (Damara mole-rat), 2279 nucleotides. It is a transcript of the gene named glial cell derived neurotrophic factor, with no coding region annotated. The record is from RefSeq and is a predicted model, not a curated record. The transcript is spliced from 2 exons. NCBI's taxonomy places the organism in Eukaryota, Metazoa, Chordata, Mammalia, Rodentia, Bathyergidae.
GUUUAUUUUGGCACAGUUUACAGAGGAUUCAGUCCAUACUAGGGUGGCUCCAAGGCAGGGCAGCACGAUAGAGGGGCCUGGCACAGGACAAAGAGUUGCUGGUGUGGCAGGCAGGAAUCAGAGCAGGGAUCAAGAGAGGAGGAAGGACACACACCUUCCAGCCACGCCCACAGUAACCCACCUCUUCCCACCAGCUUCACCUUUCCACAUUACUCCCAGCUAUAAACCCAUCGUAGACCAGCAGCACACCCAUGACCUAGUCACCUCCCAAAAGCCCCACCUAUGAGUGCAUGAGGCUUUGGGAGGACAUCUAAAUACAAUCCCUAACACUGCUCUAGGCUACAUUCCAAGGCAAGAAAAGAGCUUUCAGGGGUCAGCGUGCUCACAGCCCCCUCUCUGCUGACUUGCUGAAAUUGGCUCAAACAUAAAAUACACUUGUAAAGGUUGGAUUUCUACAACGAAGUGGAUCACCUGCCACAUUAGUCUCUUCUUCUAACUAAUCUUUCAUCUGCAAAGUGUUAGAAGAUACGUAUUAGCCUCUGUUUUUAGGAGAUUACAGUGUGCAGUUUAAGCGGCUGAUUAUUUCACUAUGGGUCCAAUCAUUUUGCUCUGACUUUAGGGGGCACUUUGAUCUAGAAGAUUGCCUGAAAUGGUCGUUGUUGUCUCAUGUGAUAUUUUGUGUUUUCUUGUUGAACAGCAAAUAUGCCAGAGGAUUAUCCAGAUCAGUUUGAUGAUGUCAUGGAUUUUAUUCAAGCCACCAUUAAAAGACUGAAAAGGUCACCAGAUAAACAAAUGGCAGUGCUUCCUAGAAGAGAGAGGAAUCGGCAGGCUGCAGCUGCCAACCCAGAGAAUUCCAGAGGAAAAGGUCGAAGAGGCCAGAGGGGCAAAAAUCGAGGCUGUGUCUUAACAGCAAUACAUUUAAAUGUCACUGACUUGGGUUUGGGCUAUGAAACCAAGGAAGAACUGAUUUUUCGGUACUGCAGCGGCUCUUGCGAUGCAGCGGAGACAAUGUAUGACAAAAUACUAAAAAACUUAUCCAGAAGUAGAAGGCUAGUGAGUGACAAAGUAGGGCAGGCCUGUUGCAGACCCAUUGCCUUUGAUGACGAUCUGUCAUUUUUAGAUGAUAACCUGGUUUACCAUAUUCUAAGAAAGCAUUCCGCUAAAAGGUGUGGAUGUAUCUGACUCCAGUUCCAGAGACUGCUGUGUAUUGCAUUCCUGCUACAGUGCAAAGAAAGGGACCAAGGUUCCCAGGAAAUGUUUGCCCAGAAGGGAAGAUGAGGACCAAGGAGGCAGAGGUGGAGGAGGAAGAGAAGGAGGAAGGCAGCCAUUGUGGGAGCCUGGUAGAGGGAGAUCCAGCUACAGAAAACUGGAUGGGAGAGAGAAAACAGCCAUCUGGGUUCUCCAGGACAGCAGCUAGUGUCUCCAGAAGGUCAGGGCUGGUGUCCCUGGUUGGCUGUUUACAUCAUUUCUUCUGAUACAGUCCACCAUCACCAACCACAGUCACAGUUGCGGAUGCACUCAAAGAACCAAACCAGUGUAUCUCCUGUGGUUCGUUUUCACGUCUGAGCGCACCAGGGGAGCAAUGAGCCUGGUGUCACUCCUUGUCAUUACGUUCUACUGCUGAAAGAAACAGGAAGUGUUCAACAGCAUUCUCCUAGGAGUGCAAGCAGGGAAGGCCCCAGCUGCCCCAGGCCAGGGAGACCCACCCCGGGGCCUUCAGUUUACAGAGAGACAGAUGUUACAUACCCAGCUCCAUUUAUGCAUGGUCACCAGUGACCAGAGAAGCUACUCGAUGCAAUGCAUCUGUUUCAGAUACAGAAAUAUAGAGAAGAUAUUUAUUGAGAUUUAAGUUAUUGUUAUUUAUUACCAUUCACUAAUGAAUUUCUCUUUUUUCCCUUAUUUAUUAAAGUUUCUUUUCAAAGGUGCCAAAGUAUAUAUGCUCGCAAAAUGCAAAGAAAGGAGACAAAAGGACAUUUUAAUUGGGAACAAGGGUCCAUGCUUUUCAAAGUAUUCAAAAGGUUUUCUCUAGGCAAAAAUCACUUACUUUACCUUUUUUUUUAAUUCCUCAUCAAUUUCCCCCGAUUUCAGUCUUUCUCCCCGUUUGUAUUUUUGUCUAAGCAUGUCCGAAGGAGCACCUACAGGUCAGCCCCCUUUCCGGGAGCACUGUGCAGAGACCAUUGGCACUUAGCUUCAUUUCUUCACUGCUCCUGCACUGAACAGAUGUGCCGUAUGCUCCACUCUCUGUUGUAUUUAAGCUCUUCUUCCCCUCCACAUGUAUC